Molecule: long non-coding RNA, 532 nt
Organism: Mus spicilegus (steppe mouse)
Lineage: Eukaryota; Metazoa; Chordata; Mammalia; Rodentia; Muridae
Source: Ensembl
CCCACCCCCAGCACAGACUUAUGGAAAGCUAUUCCAGUGAUGAUUCCCUUAGGAAACCCAUAGGCAACCACACCACCAAAGAGUCCCAGGCAGGCAAUUAUUUACCUCAUGUAAAGCAGGCAGUGGAGCGGGGGUGGGGGGUGGAAGGUGGAGGCAGGAAUAGGAGGGCCUUGGAUCCCUAUCUACCUCUCCUCUCCCUCUGUGAUUGACAGGGGAAUUCACUGGGCCUGGUCUCCGGAGAGCUUCCUGCCAAUGAAAACUGCUCCAAUCAAGAUGGAAACAGUAAUGUUCAACUCAGAAGAAACGGCCACACCAUUGAGCUGCACACCAGAUUGGAGGCAUUAUUUCAAACAGAUUGCAGGUAUGCAGGAAGUAAAAGAGAAACAAAAAAAUGUAAAGAGAGAGAAAGGACACACUUCAGGAUCUACAAAAUCAGAUCAAGACUGUGCCACAUACUCCAUCCCUUUGGUGAGCAGUUUUAAUAUUUAAUUUUUAUGGUGAAAAUAGGUAGUGUCUAUGAUGACCUUGGUGG